RNAcentral lists this ribosomal RNA (205 nucleotides) under uncultured bacterium. RNAcentral's name for it is "partial 16S ribosomal RNA". It matches the Rfam family "Bacterial small subunit ribosomal RNA", at positions 568 to 774 of the family's 1533-position model. The record is from RNAcentral.
UGCGUAGGUGGCGGGGUAAGUUUGAUGUGAAAGCUCAGGGCUUAACCCUGAAAUGGCAUUGAAUACUACUCUGCUGGAGGUUUGGAGGGGGGACUGGAAUUCUUGGUGUAGCAGUGAAAUGCGUAGAUAUCAAGAGGAACACCAGUGGCGAAAGCGAGUCCCUGGACAACACCUGACACUGAGGCACGAAAGCUGGGAGCAAACA